Molecule: RNase P RNA, 169 nt
Filed under: Thermodesulfobacteriaceae bacterium
Lineage: Bacteria; Pseudomonadati; Thermodesulfobacteriota; Thermodesulfobacteria; Thermodesulfobacteriales; Thermodesulfobacteriaceae
Description: partial RNase P RNA component class A
Rfam family: Bacterial RNase P class A
About the family: Ribonuclease P (RNase P) is a ubiquitous endoribonuclease, found in archaea, bacteria and eukarya as well as chloroplasts and mitochondria. Its best characterised activity is the generation of mature 5'-ends of tRNAs by cleaving the 5'-leader elements of precursor-tRNAs. Cellular RNase Ps are ribonucleoproteins.
Source: RNAcentral
GGAGACACCCGGGUGAUCGCUGGACCCACCUAAGUGGGUCUGGAGGAAAGUCCGGGCUCCACAGGGCAGGAUGGUCCGUAACGCGGACCGGGGGUGACCUCAGGGAAAGUGCCACAGAAAAUAUACCGCCCCGCGUUUGCGGGGUAAGGGUGAAAAGGUGAGGUAAGAG